Molecule: long non-coding RNA, 528 nt
Filed under: Capra hircus (goat)
Lineage: Eukaryota; Metazoa; Chordata; Mammalia; Artiodactyla; Bovidae
Description: lncRNA (ENSCHIG00000001748.1)
Source: RNAcentral
AUGAAACAAAAGAAAAAAGAUCUGUGUGGAUGCUUAACGAUCUCACACUUUUGCCUUCCAGGAGACGGAACUGUUAGAUCUCAGCCUUGUCAAAGACGCCAGAUGUGGGAAGCAUGCCAAGGCGCCCAAGCUUAUGAAAACUUUCACAGGAAUGGUCUACUUUUGGAUAAUGCAGGAAACCUGUGCAUAUAUCGCCACAGUCACAUAAGGUAGGUUCGAGUAAAACUAAAUACAGAAAGCUGGUCGGGUGUUGUUUUUCUAAUCCUUAUAGCAGAAUGAUGCCUUUUCAAUUUCACUGUUGCUUUGACACAUGACCAUUGACUUUCUGCUUCUGCCAGGCACUGUUCUGGGCACUAGGGGAAAAAACAACUCUGUUCUCAAAUAACAUUCUUUUUAGGAGCAAGAAACAUGUGGUGGUGGUAAACUGGCUUUCCAGGAAAAAAGCAAAAGAAAGAAAGACAGGGAGGGAGAUAGAGAGAGAAGGAGGGAGGGACGGAGGGGAAGGAAGGAAAGAAGGGAGGAAGGGAG